UUUGGAGGAGGACGCCGGUGAUAGAGGUUUGUUUCGUUUUGUUUUACGAUUUCCAUCUUCUCAUUUCAAUAGAAGUGUUGAUUUUGUUUACUGUACAGCGCCACUAUCAACAACAAUACAACGUGCACAUGAUUUGAACAUUUUUAAAAGAUGAACAACAAAAUAAUAUGAUUUUUUUUCUAAAGCAACAAAAUAUGAUAUCGAUAUGAUGAUAUGUCUCAUAUUCGGGCACUCUUACUAUGCAUAUUUCAGGGGAUGUGACCUGUAUAGCCACCAUUCCAGUAAAAAUGGAAGCAGAAGCUUACUUCUUGGCAAAGGAGGAUGGAGUUGUUGCAGGAAUUGCUCUUGCUGAGAUGAUAUUCAAGGAGGUGGAUCCUUCUUUGAC
This 385-nucleotide long non-coding RNA is filed under the name Zostera marina. RNAcentral describes it as "long non-coding RNA (ZMAR_LNC004711)". Lineage: Eukaryota; Viridiplantae; Streptophyta; Magnoliopsida; Alismatales; Zosteraceae. The record is from RNAcentral.